Molecule: unclassified non-coding RNA, 214 nt
Filed under: uncultured Cortinarius
Lineage: Eukaryota; Fungi; Basidiomycota; Agaricomycetes; Agaricales; Cortinariaceae
Description: sequence contains ITS2
Source: RNAcentral
AUAUAUAUCAACCUCUUCAGCUUUUUGCAUGUUGAGUUGUUGGAUGUGGGGGUUAUUUUUUGCUGGACUUCUUGAGAAAUCUGAGUUCAGCUCCCCUAAAAUACAUUAGCGAAACAAUUAGUUUACCGCUCAUUGGUGUGAUAACUAUCUACGCUAUUGACGGUAAAGCAUGUUUAGCUUCUAACAGUCCAUUAACUUGGACAAAGCUUUAUUA